RNAcentral lists this ribosomal RNA (439 nucleotides) under uncultured Sedimentibacter sp. Its description in RNAcentral is "bacterial SSU rRNA". It matches the Rfam family "Bacterial small subunit ribosomal RNA", at positions 338 to 795 of the family's 1533-position model. The record is from RNAcentral. Lineage: Bacteria; Bacillati; Bacillota; Tissierellia.
CCUACGGGAGGCUGCAGUGGGGAAUAUUGCACAAUGGAGGGAACUCUGAUGCAGCGACGCCGCGUGAGUGAAGAAGGUCUUCGGAUCGUAAAACUCUGUCCUUGGUGAAGAUAAUGACGGUAACCAAGGAGGAAGCCCCGGCUAACUACGUGCCAGCAGCCGCGGUAAUACGUAGGGGGCGAGCGUUGUCCGGAUUUACUGGGCGUAAAGGGUGAGUAGGCGGUUAUGUAUGUCAGAUGUAAAAGGCGCGGGCUUAACUUGCGUUAGCAUUUGAAACUGCAUAACUUGAGUGCAGGAGAGGUAAGCGGAAUUCCUAGUGUAGCGGUGAAAUGCGUAGAUAUUAGGAGGAACACCGGUGGCGAAGGCGGCUUACUGGACUGUAACUGACGCUGAGUCACGAAAGCGUGGGUAGCAAACAGGAUUAGAUACCCCGGUAGUC